Molecule: long non-coding RNA, 1750 nt
Filed under: Olea europaea subsp. europaea
Lineage: Eukaryota; Viridiplantae; Streptophyta; Magnoliopsida; Lamiales; Oleaceae
Source: RNAcentral
CCCCUUAGUACAAAAUAAACUAAACAAGUUUGCAACUUAUAUAUUUCUUGUUGUGCUGGGUAAAAAGUGAAACAACCUCACUAGACCCAUUUAAGAAUAUAUGGCUUGAAGUCUUACAUAUUUGUUCAUCUCUUCCAAAGGACGGAUUUAGAGACCUCGGCCUACUUUUGGAGCCCUUCCUCUUCGUUGCUUCCAUCAGAGAACCAUGUAGCAGACUCCUGGUCUUAUUAGACAAGCCCGUGUCUUAUAUUUAAUUAAGCGAGUCAACCAUUAUUCCAUAAUAGAAAUUUCAAUGACACAAAUAACAUUAAAUCCUCCCAAGAAAUGCAUUCCCAGGCACUCCUUAAACUAAACCAUUCAAUCUUCACUUUAUUUACAGUUAUAAUUUGAGUGUGACCCAAAUUCUUUGAUGAAGAUAAUUGAGAAUUCUAAUUAAAGUAUAGAUUAAGAAAAAAAAUCUAUUUGGAAUGCUUUUGGAAUCCUAUUUGAAGACUAUUGGGAAAUUCUAGUUGAAGUUCCAUUUGGAAGUCCUACUGGAAGUUGAAAUUUGUGUUGGAUUUAAAGAGAUCAAGAUAAGGAAAUUCUGAACAUUCUAUUUCAUCCACAACUCUUCUUCUAGGGCUUGGAUUGUCCCUAUAUAUAAUUGACUCUUCUUCCAGAUUAUGUGUUGCUGAAAUUGUAUUUUUCUCUCCAUUGAUUGUCAAUUAAUAAAACUAUCAGGUUCCUUUGCUAAUCUCUCUUCUUUCUUUAAUCUUGUUAUUUCUUAUACAAUCAAUACUUAAUAUCGUGUCAUACUUGUGUCUCUGUUCCCAACAAGUGGUAUCAGAACAUAUAUAAUUCUUGUCAAGGAUCCCAACAAUUGGUAUCAAAGCAAUUGAUUGUGGUUUUUUUGUUAUCAAUGGCCAAACCAUGAAGUAUGAAAUUUCACUUUUGGAUCGCAAUACAAGAUUUUCAUUGUGGCAGUGAAGAUGGAGUAAUUGUGCAUGAUCAAAAGUCUGACGAGCAAAUUGCAUCUGAAGUAGAGAUUGUAUUCUCAUCACAUGGUAGAAAGCGGAUAUUUAGAAAAUCAUCUAGUUGUUUUCAAGGAGAUUUUCACUGAUUUAGAGACAUAAGAGGUAAAGUAUGAUGAAGAAGAUUUGGCCUUAAUCCCAUUGUAUUCGUUGCCCGCUUCAUUUACUUUAUUUAGGGACAUGAUUUUGUAUAGUCAUAAUACUCUCACCAUUGAAGACGUAUAUGAUGUCCUAUUCUCAAAGGAAAAGAUAAAGUAUCUAAAUAGAUCUGAGUCCAGAGUUGAAUGAGGUCUUGUGGUUUAUGGUGAUUGAUGAAGGGGUAAGUCAAGGUUGAGUUUCAGUAAUCAGGUUUGCUAUUAUUGCAAGAAAAGACACAUUAAGAGAUAUUAUAAAAAAUUGUAGAAUGAAGGUACUUCAACUGCAAAUUAGGGAAAGCAAUUAAACAUUUUUUACGAGACCAACAUAGUUUAGGACUAUUUGAGUGAUGGAGAUAUCUCAACGAUUUCUGAUGUGGAAUCCAAACUUGAUGAUGAGUGAAUUUUGGAUACUGCACAUGCAUUUCAUAUGUGUCCUAAUAGUGAUUUGUUUGAAGCAUAUGAAAUGGUGACGCAAUGUGUCAUUGUCAUAAAAAAUAAUGAACCUUGUCGAGUAGUUGGUAUUGGCACGAUCAGAUCGAAGUUGAUGGAUGGAACAAUUAGAACACUUGGCCAGGUUUGACAUGUUUCAGAUUUGAAGAAAAA